UUCCAGACUCCUACGGGAGGCAGCAGUGGGGAAUAUUGCACAAUGGGGGAAACCCUGAUGCAGCGACGCCACGUGAGCGAAGAAGUAUUUCGGUAUGUAAAGCUCUAUCAGCAGGGAAGAAAAAAAUGACGGUACCUGAGUAAGAAGCACCGGCUAAAUACGUGCCAGCAGCCGCGGUAAUACGUAUGGUGCAAGCGUUAUCCGGAUUUACUGGGUGUAAAGGAGCGUAGGCGGCGCGUUAAGUCUGAUGUGAAAACCCGAGGCUCAACCACGGGAGUGCAUUGGAAACUGGCGGGCUGGAGUGCCGGAGAGGUAAGCGGAAUUCCUAGUGUAGCGGUGAAAUGCGUAGAUAUUAGGAGGAACACCGGUGGCGAAGGCGGCCUGCUGGACUGUAACUGACGUUGAGGCUCGAAAGCGUGGGGAGCAAACAGGAUUAGAUACCCUUGUAACC
RNAcentral lists this ribosomal RNA (451 nucleotides) under uncultured bacterium. RNAcentral describes it as "bacterial SSU rRNA". It matches the Rfam family "Bacterial small subunit ribosomal RNA", at positions 329 to 795 of the family's 1533-position model. The record is from RNAcentral.